CCUACGGGAGGCAGCAGUGGGGAAUAUUGGACAAUGGGGGGAACCCUGAUCCAGCCAUGCCGCGUGUGUGAAGAAGGCCCUCGGGAUGUAAAGCACUUUCAGUGAGGAAGAACGCCUGGUGGUUAAUACCCAUCAGGAAAGACAUCACUCACAGAAGAAGCACCGGCUAACUCCGUGCCAGCAGCCGCGGUAAUACGGAGGGUGCGAGCGUUAAUCGGAAUUACUGGGCGUAAAGCGCGCGUAGGUGGCUUGAUAAGCCGGUUGUGAAAGCCCCGGGCUCAACCUGGGAACGGCAUCCGGAACUGUCAAGCUAGAGUGCAGGAGAGGAAGGUAGAAUUCCCGGUGUAGCGGUGAAAUGCGUAGAGAUCGGGAGGAAUACCAGUGGCGAAGGCGGCCUUCUGGACUGACACUGACACUGAGGUGCGAAAGCGUGGGUAGCAAACAGGAUUAGAUACCCCAGUAGUC
RNAcentral lists this ribosomal RNA (465 nucleotides) under Vreelandella stevensii. RNAcentral describes it as "partial 16S ribosomal RNA". It matches the Rfam family "Bacterial small subunit ribosomal RNA", at positions 338 to 795 of the family's 1533-position model. The record is from RNAcentral. Lineage: Bacteria; Pseudomonadati; Pseudomonadota; Gammaproteobacteria; Oceanospirillales; Halomonadaceae.